RNAcentral lists this transfer-messenger RNA (349 nucleotides) under Streptococcus mitis. It matches the Rfam family "transfer-messenger RNA". From Rfam's summary of the family: Bacterial tmRNA, also known as 10Sa RNA or SsrA, is named for its dual tRNA and mRNA-like properties. Its role is to liberate the mRNA from a stalled ribosome. The record is from RNAcentral. Lineage: Bacteria; Bacillati; Bacillota; Bacilli; Lactobacillales; Streptococcaceae.
GGGGUCGUUACGGAUUCGACAGGCAUUAUGAGGCAUAUUUUGCGACUCAUCGGCAGAUGUAAAAAUGCCAGUUAAAUAUAACUGCAAAAAAUAACACUUCUUACGCUCUAGCUGCCUAAAAACCAGCAGGCGUGACCCGAUUUGGAUUGCUCGUGUUCAAUGACAGGUCUUAUUAUUAGCGAGAUACGAUCAAGUCUUGUCUAGCGGCUUGAUAAGAGAUUGAUAGACUCGCAGUUUCUAGGCUUGAGUUAUGUGUCGAGGGACUGUUAAACGAAUACAUAACCUAUGGUUGUAGACAAAUAUGUUGGCAGGUGUUUGGACGUGGGUUCGACUCCCACCGGCUCCAUUG